This is a long non-coding RNA of Erigeron canadensis, 369 nucleotides long. RefSeq lists it as uncharacterized. The transcript has 2 exons. The record is from RefSeq and is a predicted model, not a curated record. NCBI's taxonomy places the organism in Eukaryota, Viridiplantae, Streptophyta, Magnoliopsida, Asterales, Asteraceae.
UGGAUAAAGAGAUUUCAGCAUUUGGGAGAUGUUCAUUUGCACAAAGAUUCUCAUAGAGAGGUGGAUGAUGUCUCAUAGAAGAAAAGGUAUAUAUAUUUAUUCGAGUGUAGCAAAUUGCCACAUAGGAGAUUGGCACAACGGUUGUUAUAUGAUUAAACAAAUCAUGGAGAUUUGAGAAAGUACCCUCUGUAGAUUUUGAGAGAAACUGAUGCAACCAUUGUACCUGAAGCUGAUGCUUGUCCUCAGGUAAAACUUGAAGUCAUUUUGAACUUCUCUGUUUUGUAAUUUGAACCAUGUUGGGUCUGUUUCCUUCUGGCUAAGAAUCGAUUCAAUCUGAAAUAGGUGUCAACAACCAGUAUUUUGGAAGGA